AACGAACGCUGGCGGCAUGCCUAACACAUGCAAGUCGAACGAGACCUUCGGGUCUAGUGGCGCACGGGUGCGUAACGCGUGGGAACCUGCCCUUAGGUUCGGAAUAACUCCCCGAAAGGGGUGCUAAUACCGGAUAAUGUCUUCGGACCAAAGAUUUAUCGCCUUUGGAUGGGCCCGCGUUGGAUUAGCUAGUUGGUAGGGUAAAAGCCUACCAAGGCGACGAUCCAUAGCUGGUCUGAGAGGAUGAUCAGCCACACUGGGACUGCGACACGGCCCAGACUCCUACGGGAGGCAGCAGUGGGGAAUAUUGGACACUGGGCGAAAGCCUGAUCCAGCAGUGCCGCGUAAGUGAUGAAGGCCUUAGGGUUGUAAAGCUCUUUUACCCGGGAUGAUAAUGACAGUACCGGGAGAAUAAGCUCCGGCUAACUCCGUG
RNAcentral lists this ribosomal RNA (433 nucleotides) under uncultured bacterium. Its description in RNAcentral is "partial 16S ribosomal RNA". It matches the Rfam family "Bacterial small subunit ribosomal RNA", at positions 29 to 507 of the family's 1533-position model. The record is from RNAcentral.